AGAGUUUGAUCAUGGCUCAGAACGAACGCUGGCGGCGUGGAUUAGGCAUGCAAGUCGGACGAGAAAGGGUUCGCAAGAAUCCGAGUAAAGUGGCGAAAGGGUGAGUAGUACCUAGGUAACCUACCCUUGAGACGGGAAUAACGUUCGGAAACGGACGCUAAUACCCGGUACGUCGGAGGGAUCGCCUGAUUCUUCCGGGAAAGGUAGCCUCUAUUUAUAAGCUUCCGCUCAAGGAGGGGCCUCGGGCCUAUCAGCUAGUUGGCGGGGUGACGGCCCACCAAGGCAGGGACGGGUAGCCGGUCUGAGAGGAUGGUCGGCCACACUGGGACUGAGACACUGCCCAGACUCCUACGGGAGGCUGCAGUCGAGGAUCUUCUGCAAUGGGCGCAAGCCUGACAGAGCGACGCCGCGUGGGGGAGGAAGGCCCUCGGGUUGUAAACCCCUGUUGCCGGUUAAGAAAGUCGGGGUGCGAAUAGCGCUUCCGAUUGACAAAGGCCGGUGAGGAAGCCACGGCUAACUACGUGCCAGCAGCCGCGGUAAAACGUAGGUGGCAAGCGUUGUUCGGAAUCACUGGGCAUAAAGCGCGCGUAGGCGGCUGGGUAAGUCGGGUGUGAAAGCCCUCGGCUCAACCGAGGAACUGCGCCCGAUACUGCCCGGCUUGAGGUCCGGANGGGAGAGUGNNAUUCCCGGUGNAGCGGUGAAAUGCGUAGAGAUCGGGAAGAACGCCGGCGGCNAAAGCGACUCUNUGGACGGACCCUGACGCUNAGGNNCGAANGCUAGGGGAGCAAACGGGAUUANAU
Molecule: ribosomal RNA, 800 nt
Filed under: uncultured bacterium
Lineage: Bacteria
Description: bacterial SSU rRNA
Rfam family: Bacterial small subunit ribosomal RNA
Source: RNAcentral